Molecule: long non-coding RNA, 341 nt
Organism: Dreissena polymorpha
Lineage: Eukaryota; Metazoa; Mollusca; Bivalvia; Myida; Dreissenidae
Exons: 2
Source: RefSeq, a predicted model, not a curated record
GUAACAGUGCAAAUCGAGAUCUACUUUACAUCAAAUAACAGUCGAAACGUCGUUAGUGUUUAUGAUACAGGGUAAUAAGAACUGUAAAUGGAGCAUUCUCUGAUCAGGAGCGUAUGAAUAUAAAACUUAUAAACUUGUCUUUUUCAGAUUGACUGGAAACAUCACAUUUUCGCAGGUUUCUUCGCGGUGACGCUAAACGUGAUGGUCGUGCACACGUGCUUCUCGAACUGGUCCCGCCUGUCCCGUAACGACCGUUACAUCAUCAACCUUGCGAUCAGUGACAGCCGCAUGCCUCUCUGCGCCUUCCCACUCACCAUCUCAUCCUCGUUCUCUCACGAGUG